This 253-nucleotide ribosomal RNA is filed under the name uncultured bacterium. RNAcentral describes it as "partial 16S ribosomal RNA". It matches the Rfam family "Bacterial small subunit ribosomal RNA", at positions 524 to 776 of the family's 1533-position model. The record is from RNAcentral.
GACAUAGGUCGCAAACGUUAUCCGGAAUUAUUGGGCGUAAAGCGCUCGCAGGUGGUUCGUCGCGUCGUGCGUGAAAGACCCCGGCUCAACUGGGGGAGGUCGUGCGAUACGGGCGGACUGGAGGCCAGUAGGGGGAUGCGGAAUUCCGGGUGUAGUGGUGGAAUGCGUAGAGAUCCGGAGGAACACCAGCGGCGAAGGCGGCAUCCUGGACUGGUCCUGACACUCAUGAGCGAAAGCGUGGGGAGCGAUCCGG